UACGGGGGGGGCAAGCGUUGUUCGGAAUUACUGGGCGUAAAGGGCUCGUAGGCGGCCAACUAAGUCAGACGUGAAAUCCCUCGGCUUAACCGGGGAACUGCGUCUGAUACUGGAUGGCUUGAGUUUGGGAGAGGGAUGCGGAAUUCCAGGUGUAGCGGUGAAAUGCGUAGAUAUCUGGAGGAACACCGGUGGCGAAGGCGGCAUCCUGGACCAACACUGACGCUGAGUGAGCGAAAGCCAGGGGAGCAAACGAG
RNAcentral lists this ribosomal RNA (254 nucleotides) under uncultured bacterium. Its description in RNAcentral is "partial 16S ribosomal RNA". It matches the Rfam family "Bacterial small subunit ribosomal RNA", at positions 524 to 776 of the family's 1533-position model. The record is from RNAcentral.